Long non-coding RNA from Gadus morhua (Atlantic cod), 512 nucleotides. RefSeq lists it as uncharacterized. The record is from RefSeq and is a predicted model, not a curated record. The transcript is spliced from 3 exons. Lineage: Eukaryota; Metazoa; Chordata; Actinopteri; Gadiformes; Gadidae.
GUACCUCCCACAACAUGGAUAUGCUUCUUUUACCUUUAUCCUAGCAUAUUUGAAACGUUGUCAGUUAAACAUAUCUCUGCGGGGCGAAGACUUUAUUAUUGACCCUAAGAAAAAUGAUCGCAGAGAAAUUCACUUUUACGUGCGACCAGUUGUCAUCUCACAGGCAGAUAGCGUGCUGUCCGACUCACUGUGUCACACCACAUGGAGGCAAAGACCUGCUCUGUUACAACCUGAAAGACCUUAACCAGGAGCCCCUGGCAUUAACGGGCCACCAUGGUGAGAUCUCUGCGAUGGUGUUCGGGAGACGUGACACGCAGGUCCUACUCUGCUCUGCCUCUGCUGAUUACAUCAUUGUGUGGAACAUUGAGCUCUGUCAGAAGAGAGUAGACGAUGGCUUAAUUGCAGCUGGAACAGUAAUCGGUACCUUACUGGGUGAUGUGGUCUACCUUGCCUUCUGUUCCUCUGGGGAGCGGGUAGCAGCAUGCACUGGAAACAGAGUCAAUAUACUGAGC